CUUGGGGGGGGGGGCUCAGCCCGGAUUGUGAGAGGGCACAGGCCAGGCUGAGGGACCCCACCGGUGCACG
RNAcentral lists this microRNA precursor (70 nucleotides) under Myotis brandtii (Brandt's bat). RNAcentral's name for it is "mir-9193 microRNA precursor family". It matches the Rfam family "mir-9193 microRNA precursor family". Lineage: Eukaryota; Metazoa; Chordata; Mammalia; Chiroptera; Vespertilionidae. The record is from Rfam by way of RNAcentral.